RNAcentral lists this ribosomal RNA (426 nucleotides) under uncultured bacterium. RNAcentral's name for it is "bacterial SSU rRNA". It matches the Rfam family "Bacterial small subunit ribosomal RNA", at positions 29 to 458 of the family's 1533-position model. The record is from RNAcentral.
AUUGAACGCUGGCGGAAUGCUUUACACAUGCAAGUCGAGCGGCAGCGCGGGGGCAACCCUGGCGGCGAGCGGCGAACGGGUGAGUAACAUAUCGGAACGUACCCCGUCGUGGGGGAUAACACAGCGAAAGCUGUGCUAAUACCGCAUACGACCUGAGGGUGAAAGCGGGGGAUCGCAAGACCUCGCGCGAUGGGAGCGGCCGAUAUCGGAUUAGCUUGUUGGUGAGGUAAAGGCUCACCAAGGCGACGAUCCGUAGCUGGUCUGAGAGGACGACCAGCCACACUGGAACUGAGACACGGUCCAGACUCCUACGGGAGGCAGCAGUGGGGAAUUUUGGACAAUGGGGGCAACCCUGAUCCAGCCAUUCCGCGUGAGUGAAGAAGGCCUUGUCUGUAAGACGUCUUUUGUUGUAGGGAAGGAAAGUAG